UUCAACAACUGCCGGGACAAUUUUCAUUUCAUUUAUUUAAGUCUUACUAAUUUUGUAAAAGUGCUUGGCUGUUUUAAUUUGUUUGUGUUUUUUCAAAAUUGAAGCUUUAUUAUGCGCAGUCAUUGAAAGCGGCGUCAACAAAAGCACAAUUCGAAUAUAUUUUUCAAAGUUUUGGAGCUACGACCGAAUAGCGAUGAAUCAAGUAUCGAAACUGAGCGCCCACCGAGAACCGGAAACGCGGAAACGCUGAGGAUGACGGCCACUUGUGGAAUGGCUGCAGCCACGAAGCGACAGCGUCGGCAGACCCGAGUCCAGGCCAAAGGCGAAUCACAGGCCUCGCCGAGGAGCGCCGAGCUGAGCAACAAGUCCACCGCCCUGGAAUGGGCUGGGGCUUCUACCCGCACGAAGGCCCGAAUCGAAGCCAAAACUGGCGAAUGGAGAGCAACUGAACGGGCUCAAAGCCUGAGUCAAAUUCUGAAUUCACACCCCGCCCGCUGCUCCCAGGAAUUUGACACUUCUCAAGUCUCAGGUGGUGUGCGAUGUGCAUUGAACUCGGUUUAACCUGCACAGCAUGGAAAUCAGACUGAAGUCCGCCUGCAGCCCAUAGCAACUGUGGUAUAUAGUGACUUCCGUAAUAAUAAACCAUUUGUUUACUUAUUACAGCCCAAACGGAUAUACAUAUGUUGGGCCCAAGAGAUAUA
Drosophila serrata is the source of this 701-nucleotide long non-coding RNA. The record is from RefSeq and is a predicted model, not a curated record. Lineage: Eukaryota; Metazoa; Arthropoda; Insecta; Diptera; Drosophilidae.